CCUACGGGAGGCAGCAGUAGGGAAUCUUAGACAAUGGGGGCAACCCUGAUCUAGCCAUGCCGCGUGUGUGAUGAAGGCCCUAGGGUCGUAAAGCACUUUCGCCAGAGAUGAUAAUGACAGUAUCUGGUAAAGAAACCCCGGCUAACCCCGUGCCAGCAGCCGCGGUAAUACGGAGGGGGUUAGCGUUGUUCGGAAUUACUGGGCGUAAAGCGCACGUAGGCGGAUUAGUAAGUUAGAGGUGAAAUCCCAGGGCUCAACCCUGGAACUGCCUUUAAUACUGCUAGUCUUGAGUUCGAGAGAGGUAAGUGGAAUUCCGAGUGUAGAGGUGAAAUUUCGUAGAUAUUCGGAGGAACACCAGUGGGCGAAGGCGGCUUNACUGGCUCGAAUACUGACGCCUGAAGGUUGCGAAAAGUGGUGGGGAGGCAAACAGGAUUAGAUACCCUGGUAGUCCACACCGUAAACGAUGAAUGCCAGACGUCAGCAAGUAUACUUGUUGGUGUCACACCUAACGGAUUAAGCAUUCCGCCUGGGGAGUACGGUCGCAAGAUUAAAACUCAAAGGAAUUGACGG
RNAcentral lists this ribosomal RNA (570 nucleotides) under uncultured Alphaproteobacteria bacterium. Its description in RNAcentral is "bacterial SSU rRNA". It matches the Rfam family "Bacterial small subunit ribosomal RNA", at positions 338 to 916 of the family's 1533-position model. Lineage: Bacteria; Pseudomonadati; Pseudomonadota; Alphaproteobacteria. The record is from RNAcentral.